UCAGCGGCACAAAGCGGGCGCGCGUGCGGGCAGCUCGGUCGGUCGGGCGGGCUCAGCCGGUUCUGGGCCGGUUCGGCCCAAGCGGUCGGACCGGUCCGGUUCACCGUUUUUUUUUCUUUUCUCUUUCCCUUUUUCUUAUUUCUUUGGUAUCUUUGGUUUUGAACUCCAAAUUGAUCCAAAUAAAUUCCAAAUUUUUUGUAAAAUCAUGUUUUAUCAUGAUACAACUUUUGGGAGUAGUUUCUCCUCAAAAUAAAAUAUAUAAAAAUACAUUUACCCUAUAAAUGCCUUUAGGGCUAUAUAUUUAUUUUAAAUAAAAUACGUUUUCAACUCCAAAUAAUUAUCCAAAAAUUAUGGGAUAGCUUAUAUAUGCAAUAAACCCCUUUUAUACAGAAACUCUAUUGGUUUGAAAAUCUAAAGCUUAAAUGGGUGUAAACAAAGUCUUUUAAAGCCUUUUGAGAUUCAAAUUUGAAUUCAAAUAUGCAAUUGUGGCAUGAUGCUCAUGGAUGCAAUGCACAUGUAAAAGUUUGAAAUUUUGGGAUGUUACACGCUCCCACCUACACAGCUAC
Molecule: long non-coding RNA, 566 nt
Filed under: Brachypodium distachyon (stiff brome)
Lineage: Eukaryota; Viridiplantae; Streptophyta; Magnoliopsida; Poales; Poaceae
Description: long non-coding RNA (BDIS_LNC002460)
Source: RNAcentral